GAAUGUGAGGGCGCUCUGGUUGCGACAUCUGUCACCUCAUUGAUUGCCAGGGUGAUUCGGGUGAUCUGGCUGUCUAGGCAGGUGUCCCCUUCCUUCCUCACCGCUUCCUUUGCAUCUGUCCUGAAGCUGCACGAUCGGUGGAAGAGGACGACCUUCCCCUAUAGAGGAAAAGAUCGUUCUACGGUCAAGGAUAUACGAGUAGCUGUGCUCCCCUGCUAGAACCUCCAAACAAGCUUUCAAGGUCCAUUAGUAGAAGAACGUAGGGUAGUCAAGCUUCCAAGACUCCAGACACAUCCAAAUGAGGUGCUGCAUGUGGCAGACUGACUUUAAAAU
Pteropus alecto (black flying fox) is the source of this 333-nucleotide non-coding RNA. The record is from Rfam. Lineage: Eukaryota; Metazoa; Chordata; Mammalia; Chiroptera; Pteropodidae.